Molecule: ribosomal RNA, 478 nt
Filed under: uncultured bacterium
Lineage: Bacteria
Description: bacterial SSU rRNA
Rfam family: Bacterial small subunit ribosomal RNA
Source: RNAcentral
AGAGUUUGAUCCUGGCUCAGAUUGAACGCUGGCGGCAGGCCUAACACAUGCAAGUCGAGCGGUAGCACAAGGAGCUUGCUCCUGGGUGACGAGCGGCGGACGGGUGAGUAAUGUCUGGGAAACUGCCCGAUGGAGGGGGAUAACUACUGGAAACGGUAGCUAAUACCGCAUAACGUCUUCGGACCAAAGUGGGGGACCUUCGGGCCUCACACCAUCGGAUGUGCCCAGAUGGGAUUAGCUAGUAGGUGAGGUAAUGGCUCACCUAGGCGACGAUCCCUAGCUGGUCUGAGAGGAUGACCAGCCACACUGGAACUGAGACACGGUCCAGACUCCUACGGGAGGCAGCAGUGGGGAAUAUUGCACAAUGGGCGCAAGCCUGAUGCAGCCAUGCCGCGUGUGUGAAGAAGGCCUUCGGGUUGUAAAGCACUUUCAGCGAGGAGGAAGGGUUCAGUGUUAAUAGCGCUGUUCAUUGACGUUA